GACCUCAGAUCAGACGAGAUGACCCGCUGAAUUUAAGCAUAUCAAUAAG
RNAcentral lists this ribosomal RNA (49 nucleotides) under Anelosimus guacamayos. RNAcentral's name for it is "partial 28S ribosomal RNA". The record is from RNAcentral. Lineage: Eukaryota; Metazoa; Arthropoda; Arachnida; Araneae; Theridiidae.